UACGUAGGGGGCAAGCGUUGUCCGGAAUUAUUGGGCGUAAAGAGCUCGUAGGCGGUUUGUCGCGUCUGCUGUGAAAACUCGGGGCUUAACUCCGGGCCUGCAGUGGGUACGGGCAGACUAGAGUGCGGUAGGGAGACUGGAAUUCCUGGUGUAGGCGGUGAAAUGCGUAGAGAUCAGGAAGAACACCGGUGGCGAAGGCGCUCUGCUAGCCGCAACUGACAGCUGAGGGACGAAAGCUAGGGAGCGAAUGGG
This 252-nucleotide ribosomal RNA is filed under the name uncultured bacterium. Its description in RNAcentral is "partial 16S ribosomal RNA". It matches the Rfam family "Bacterial small subunit ribosomal RNA", at positions 524 to 776 of the family's 1533-position model. The record is from RNAcentral.